GUGGGGAAUUUUGGACAAUGGGCGAAAGCCUGAUCCAGCCAUGCCGCGUGCAGGAUGAAGGCCUUCGGGUUGUAAACUGCUUUUGUACGGAACGAAAAGACUCCUUCUAAUAAAGGGGGUCCAUGACGGUACCGUAAGAAUAAGCACCGGCUAACUACGUGCCAGCAGCCGCGGUAAUACGUAGGGUGCAAGCGUUAAUCGGAAUUACUGGGCGUAAAGCGUGCGCAGGCGGUUAUAUAAGACAGAUGUGAAAUCCCCGGGCUCAACCUGGGAACUGCAUUUGUGACUGUAUAGCUAGAGUACGGUAGAGGGGGAUGGAAUUCCGCGUGUAGCAGUGAAAUGCGUGGAUAUGCGGAGGAACACCGAUGGCGAAGGCAAUCCCCUGGACCUGUACUGACGCUCAUGCACGAAAGCGUGGGGAGCAAACAGGAUUAGAUACCCGGGUAGUCC
Molecule: ribosomal RNA, 450 nt
Filed under: uncultured bacterium
Lineage: Bacteria
Description: partial 16S ribosomal RNA
Rfam family: Bacterial small subunit ribosomal RNA
Source: RNAcentral